CACACCAGUAUCAUCCAUUUUUAUUAGAUAAAUUAAAAAGGUGUACUUUCUAUGUAUUUUCUAUUUUUCAGUGUUCAAGGGCCACAGCUGCUGCUUGCUGCCUCUACAUUUCAAUGUGAAUCCCCUUAGAUGUCUUUGCCAUCACUUCUUUUCCCAGCUUGGAGUGCCUAGGCUGAGCUCAAGUGUAUGUCUGGAAAGAGAAAGAGAAAAUCCAUCAGUUUCAGUUGUGCCAGUGGAUAAACAGCAUUGAGAACUCCCUCUGGUUGGAUUCCCAAACUGCUCUGCAGGUUGCUGGCUACAGCAGACUACCAAAACAAAUCUCUUACCAUGAUCAAGGUCAGAGCCAGGUCAGUCAUUCACAGAAUAUUACAUUUCUUCUUGGAAGCAGGAAGCAUUUGAUAUUUGAUUUCCCUGUGCGCCACUCUUUGAUGGAUUUUCCUUUUCUUUCCUGCAGAGGGAAGAAUCUGUUAUGUUAAAACUGUUAUGUGUAUUUACAUAUAGUGACUGAUAUAUAUUUAAUACUGAUAGUGUCCUGGAAAAGCAUUAAGGAAAUGCAUCUUCUGGCUCUGCAAAAGUAUGUAGUAGGCUAUUCUGCUGGAGUUGAAGGUAAUUCUUUAUGGAAAAGUACAUGCACA
Molecule: long non-coding RNA, 635 nt
Filed under: Coturnix japonica (Japanese quail)
Lineage: Eukaryota; Metazoa; Chordata; Aves; Galliformes; Phasianidae
Description: lncRNA (ENSCJPG00005012449.1)
Source: RNAcentral